RNAcentral lists this ribosomal RNA (452 nucleotides) under uncultured bacterium. RNAcentral's name for it is "partial 16S ribosomal RNA". It matches the Rfam family "Bacterial small subunit ribosomal RNA", at positions 28 to 507 of the family's 1533-position model. The record is from RNAcentral.
GAUGAACGCUGGCGGCGUGCCUAACACAUGCAAGUCGAGCGAUUUACUUCGGUAAAGAGCGGCGGACGGGUGAGUAACGCGUGGGUAACCUGCCCUGUACACACGGAUAACAUACCGAAAGGUAUGCUAAUACGAGAUAAUAUGCUUUUAUCGCAUGGUAGAAGUAUCAAAGCUUUUGCGGUACAGGAUGGACCCGCGUCUGAUUAGCUAGUUGGUGAGGUAACGGCUCACCAAGGCGACGAUCAGUAGCCGACCUGAGAGGGUGGUCGGCCACAUUGGAACUGAGACACGGUCCAAAAUCCUACGGGAGGCAGCAGUGGGGAAUAUUGCACAAUGGGCGAAAGCCUGAUGCAGCAACGCCGCGUGAGCGAUGAAGGCCUUCGGGUCGUAAAGCUCUGUCCUCAAGGAAGAUAAUGACGGUACUUGAGGAGGAAGCCCCGGCUAACUACGUG